Molecule: long non-coding RNA, 411 nt
Organism: Neltuma alba
Lineage: Eukaryota; Viridiplantae; Streptophyta; Magnoliopsida; Fabales; Fabaceae
Exons: 3
Source: RefSeq, a predicted model, not a curated record
CAUCAGCAUGGAACAAGUGCAGCAAAGUAAUGAAAAAGAGGAAGAAAGAUGGGUUUCAUAAUCCACAAUAACACAAAAUUUCUGAACCUUUAGGGUACAUAAAGCAACACCAGUUCUGCUUUUCUUCCUCCGCUGCUUCGUCCUCGCCAUCUCUCCAUCAACAGGACGAAUCAAUUUUGAUUCGUAUUUGAUAAAUAAGCUAACUGCUUCCAUUUGAAUAAUAAAUCAAAAGGGCCAACAUCCCUAAUUUCCAAUAUCAUCCGAGAGGUGGGUUGGGUGAAGAAUCAAGACCAUGUCGUUUGGAUCAAACAAGUAGUCAUACCUGCCAGACACAACCAACGCACCAGAUUAAAGAAUUAAAGAAAACGCAAAGGGUGACAACACAAGUGUGACACAGAGAGAGAGAGAGAG